GAAGAUCUGAGGCUGGAGCCUCCUACAGCCCUAACGAGGCUUUCCUUUAGUUGGGAAAUGAGUCCCCAGAGAGCAGGGCUCCAGGCCUGGACAGACUGGCAGGGGAUACCCCAAGUGGGCAGAUGUAUCACUCAAGAGAAACUGCAACUGACUCCUGAUCACUCCAUUUGUUCAG
Non-coding RNA from Rattus norvegicus (Norway rat), 175 nucleotides. Ensembl annotates it as Nuclear RNase P. The record is from Ensembl. NCBI's taxonomy places the organism in Eukaryota, Metazoa, Chordata, Mammalia, Rodentia, Muridae.